ACCAGACUCCUACGGGAGGCAGCAGUGGGGAAUAUUGGGCAAUGGGCGCAAGCCUGACCCAGCAAUGCCGCGUGAAGGAAGAAGGCUUUCGGGUUGUAAACUUCUUUGACAGGGGAAGAGCAGAAGACGGUACCCUGAAAACAAGCCACGGCUAACUACGUGCCAGCAGCCGCGGUAAUACGUAGGUGGCAAGCGUUGUCCGGAUUUACUGGGUGUAAAGGGCGUGUAGCCGGGUUGACAAGUCAGAUGUGAAAUCCUGCGGCUUAACCGCAGGACUGCAUUUGAAACUGUUGAUCUUGAGUACUGGAGAGGCAGGCGGAAUUCCUAGUGUAGCGGUGAAAUGCGUAGAUAUUAGGAGGAACACCAGUGGCGAAGGCGGUCUGCUGGACAGCAACUGACGGUGAGGCGCGAAAGCAUGGGGAGCAAACAGGAUUAGAUACCCGGGUA
This 447-nucleotide ribosomal RNA is filed under the name uncultured bacterium. Its description in RNAcentral is "bacterial SSU rRNA". It matches the Rfam family "Bacterial small subunit ribosomal RNA", at positions 330 to 792 of the family's 1533-position model. The record is from RNAcentral.